GCGAGGAUUGGCAGCAUCAGCAGGAACUGGCAACUGAUUAUUUCAUUGGAAAAAAAUAAUAAAUAAAUAAACCCCUACAAAAAGAUCCCCUGCAUUUGAAAAAGAGAGGGGGGAAACAAGCUGAACUCUCAUCAUUCUUUCUCCAGCAGCCAAUCUGCUUUGCAUUGAAACAACAACAGCGCUUUUUGGUUACAGAUGCAGGAGAAAUUCAAUUCACUUCACGUUUAAAGGAGCACCUCCACGUUACGUUUACUUGCAUGAAAACACCAGUGUUACACUGUUACAUGUGGCUAUUACAAAGAGGCGUACAGUGAUGUUCAUUCAUCUUGGCUGGGCCAGAGAUCCCAGGCAAGAAUCUGUGUGCUCUACCUGUACAUUCAGAGAUGUGCAUGCACUCCUGUGUUAUGUCCAGGGGUGUGGUGGUCUGGAUUUUUGGGGUGUGUAUCAUGGGUGUAGCCAGGAUUUAUAUUAGGUGAGCAGGACCAAUGGGGGGGGGGGAGUCAGAACUGAGUUGUCUGUGACAUGAUUGGUCAGUUAGUUAAGUAUUUUAUUUACUUGACUGGAGGAAGCUGUCCCCCGCCCCCCAUUGGCUACACCCAUGGGUGAGUGUGCGAAAGAUCUACCAUUUCUGCCCCAGGGUCCCUGUCUCCAGCGUCCUAGAACCACCCAAUCAGGAUGAAAGGGGAGCCUUUAAGACACUGAGAAGUAUUAUCACCCUUUGUGCUGGUUGGAGUCAGCAAUGGAGAACCAGCUCCUCAAGUCACUCUGGAGACGGCGCAUGUAAAGAACACCAAGGAGUUGUUCUGUACACUCCAAAGCUAAGAUUUAGGAACACUGGGAAAACCAGGUGCUUCACUUUCAAGACAAUCCGUUUGUUGAACGCUCUCCUCAGGGAGGUUGUCCAGCAUCUUUAGGAUGUAUCUUUCGGAUGUAUAAUAAAACGUUCGUUUUCAACUCA
Molecule: non-coding RNA, 958 nt
Organism: Podarcis muralis (Common wall lizard)
Lineage: Eukaryota; Metazoa; Chordata; Lepidosauria; Squamata; Lacertidae
Source: RefSeq, a predicted model, not a curated record